Molecule: ribosomal RNA, 483 nt
Filed under: uncultured bacterium
Lineage: Bacteria
Description: partial 16S ribosomal RNA
Rfam family: Bacterial small subunit ribosomal RNA
Source: RNAcentral
AUUGAACGCUGGCGGCAGGCCUAACACAUGCAAGUCGAGCGGAUGAAGGGAGCUUGCUCCUGGAUUCAGCGGCGGACGGGUGAGUAAUGCCUAGGAAUCUGCCUGGUAGUGGGGGAUAACGUCCGGAAACGGGCGCUAAUACCGCAUACGUCCUGAGGGAGAAAGUGGGGGUUCUCGGACCCCAAGCUAUUAGGUUAGCCUAGGUCGGAUUAGCUAGUUGGUGGGGUAAAGGCCUACCAAGGCGACGAUCCGUAACUGGUCUGAGAGGAUGAUCAGUCACACUGGAACUGAGACACGGUCCAGACUCCUACGGGAGGCAGCAGUGGGGAAUAUUGGACAAUGGGCGAAAGCCUGAUCCAGCCAUGCCGCGUGUGUGAAGAAGGUCUUCGGAUUGUAAAGCACUUUAAGUUGGGAGGAAGGGCAGUAAGUUAAUACCUUGCUGUUUUGACGUUACCAACAGAAUAAGCACCGGCUAACUUCGUG